This 710-nucleotide ribosomal RNA is filed under the name uncultured Pseudomonadaceae bacterium. RNAcentral's name for it is "bacterial SSU rRNA". It matches the Rfam family "Bacterial small subunit ribosomal RNA", at positions 71 to 777 of the family's 1533-position model. Lineage: Bacteria; Pseudomonadati; Pseudomonadota; Gammaproteobacteria; Pseudomonadales; Pseudomonadaceae. The record is from RNAcentral.
GAGAGGAGCUUGCUCCUCGAUUCAGCGGCGGACGGGUGAGUAAUGCCUAGGAAUCUGCCUAGUAGUGGGGGACAACGUUUCGAAAGGAACGCUAAUACCGCAUACGUCCUACGGGAGAAAGUGGGGGAUCUUCGGACCUCACGCUAUUAGAUGAGCCUAGGUCGGAUUAGCUAGUUGGUAGGGUAAAGGCCUACCAAGGCGACGAUCCGUAACUGGUCUGAGAGGAUGAUCAGUCACACUGGAACUGAGACACGGUCCAGACUCCUACGGGAGGCAGCAGUGGGGAAUAUUGGACAAUGGGCGAAAGCCUGAUCCAGCCAUGCCGCGUGUGUGAAGAAGGCCUUCGGGUCGUAAAGCACUUUAAGUUGGGAGGAAGGGCUCAUAGCGAAUACCUGUGAGUUUUGACGUUACCAACAGAAUAAGCACCGGCUAACUUCGUGCCAGCAGCCGCGGUAAUACGAAGGGUGCAAGCGUUAAUCGGAAUUACUGGGCGUAAAGCGCGCGUAGGUGGCUUGAUAAGUUGGAUGUGAAAUCCCCGGGCUCAACCUGGGGACUGCAUCCAAAACUGUCUGGCUAGAGUGCGGUAGAGGGUAGUGGAAUUUCCAGUGUAGCGGUGAAAUGCGUAGAUAUUGGAAGGAACACCAGUGGCGAAGGCGACUACCUGGACUGACACUGACACUGAGGUGCGAAAGCGUGGGGAGCAAACAGGA